RNAcentral lists this ribosomal RNA (487 nucleotides) under uncultured bacterium. RNAcentral describes it as "bacterial SSU rRNA". It matches the Rfam family "Bacterial small subunit ribosomal RNA", at positions 8 to 507 of the family's 1533-position model. The record is from RNAcentral.
AGAGUUUGAUCCUGGCUCAGGAUGAACGCUGGCGGCGUGCCUAAUACAUGCAAGUCGAGCGAACCACUUCGGUGGUGAGCGGCGAACGGGUGAGUAACACGUAGGUGAUCUGCCCAUCAGACGGGGACAACGAUUGGAAACGAUCGCUAAUACCGGAUAGGACGAAAGUUUAAAGGUGCUUCUGGCACCGCUGAUGGAUGAGCCUGCGGCGCAUUAGCUAGUUGGUAGGGUAAAGGCCUACCAAGGCGACGAUGCGUAGCCGACCUGAGAGGGUGGACGGCCACACUGGGACUGAGACACGGCCCAGACUCCUACGGGAGGCAGCAGUAGGGAAUCUUCGGCAAUGGGCGAAAGCCUGACCGAGCAACGCCGCGUGAAUGAUGAAGGCCUUCGGGUUGUAAAAUUCUGUUAUAAGGGAAGAACGACUUUAGUAGGAAAUGGCUAGAGUGUGACGGUACCUUAUGAGAAAGCCACGGCUAACUACGUG